Molecule: ribosomal RNA, 1461 nt
Filed under: uncultured Bordetella sp.
Lineage: Bacteria; Pseudomonadati; Pseudomonadota; Betaproteobacteria; Burkholderiales; Alcaligenaceae
Description: partial 16S-23S ribosomal RNA intergenic spacer
Rfam family: Bacterial small subunit ribosomal RNA
Source: RNAcentral
AGUUCGAUUAUGGCUCAGAUUGAACGCUGGCGGGAUGCUUUACACAUGCAAGUCGAACGGCAGCACGGACUUCGGUCUGGUGGCGAGUGGCGAACGGGCAGUAAUGUAUCGAACGUGCCUAGUAGCGGGGAUAACUACGCGAAAGCGCAGCUAAUACCGCAUACGCCCUUCGGGGGAAAGCGGGGAUUCCCGGGCCUCGCACUAUUAGAGCGGCCGAUAUCGGAUUAGCUAGUUGGUGGGGUAACGGCUCACCAAGGCGACGAUCCGUAGCUGGUUUGAGAGGACGACCAGCCACACUGGGACUGAGACAUACGGCCCAGACUCCUACGGGAGGCAGCAGCGGGGAAUUUGGACAAUGGGGGAAACCCUGAUCCAGCCAUCCCGCGUGUGCGAUGAAGGCCUUCGGGUUGUAAAGCACUUUUGGCAGGAAGUUGGAACGGCACGGGAUAAUACCCUCAGCAACCGACGGUACCUGCAGAAUAAGCACCGGCUAACUACGUGCCAGCAGCCGCGGUAAUACGUAGGGUGCAAGCGUUAAUCGAAUUACUGGGCGUGAAGCGUGCAGGCGGUUCGGAAAGAAAGAUGUGAAAUCCCAGAGCUUAACUUUGGGACUGCAUUUUUAACUACCGGAGCUAGAGUGUGUCAGCGGGAAAGGAAACUGCAGUGUGGUGUAGAUAUGCGGAGGAACACCGAUGGCUAAGGCAGCCCCUGAUACAACACUGACGCUUCAUGCACGAAAGCGUAGAUGCCAAAAGCAGAUCAGAUACCCUGGUAGUCCACGCCCUAAACGAUGUCAACUAGCCGUUGGGGCCUCGGCCUGGUAGCGCAGCUAACGCGUGAAGUUGACCGCCUGGGGAGUACGGUCGCAAGAUUAAAACUCAAAGGAAUUGACGGGGACCCGCACAAGCGGUGGAUGAUGUGGAUUAAUUCGAUGCAACGCGAAAACCUUACCUACCCUUGACAUGUCUGGAAUCCCGAAGAGAUUUGGGAGUGCUCGCAAGAGAACCGAACACAGGUGCUGCAUGGUUGUCGUCACCUGUGUCGAGAUGUUGGGUUAAGUCCUGCAACGAGCGCAACCCUUGUCAUUAGUUGCUACGAAAGGGCACUCGACGAGACUGCCGGUGACAAACCGGAGGAAGGUGGAUGACGUCGUCCUCAUGUGGCCCUUAUGGUAGUCACACGUCAUACAAUGGUCGGGACAGAGUGGUCGCCAACCCGCGAGGGGAGCCAUAACCCAGAAACCCGAUCGUAGUCCGGAUCGCAGUUCGCAACUCGACUGCGUGAAGUCGGAAUCGCUAGUAAUCGCGGAUCAGCAUGUCGCGGUGAAUACGUUCCCGGUCUUGUACACACCGCCCGCUACACCAUGGGGAGUGGGUUUUACCAGAAGUAGUUAGCCUAACCGUAAGGAGGGCGGAUUACCACGGUAGGAUUCAUGACUGGGGUGAAGUCGUAACAAGGUAA